Molecule: unclassified non-coding RNA, 2572 nt
Filed under: Hevea brasiliensis (rubber tree)
Lineage: Eukaryota; Viridiplantae; Streptophyta; Magnoliopsida; Malpighiales; Euphorbiaceae
Source: RNAcentral
GGACAAGUGAACAACUAGAAUCACAGUAUCAUAGCUCAACACCACCUGCUUUUUAUCCAGUGGUGUCUUUCCACACAAUGCUUACAUACCGGUCUUUUCAAUAAUUUACAAGAUCUUUUUAUCUAAAGAGGAUUCAUAGUCGAAUCAUGUAAAUCUUAUUUUUGUUUUUUUUUUCUUCCCUACAUAUUGUGCGCUGUGUGUCCUAAAUUUGUGCACCUGUUACAACAGUCUCAAUGUCAUAAUCUAUUGUAUUCUAUCUAGUGAUGCAAAAAGAAAUAGAUUAUGAAAAUUAUACUGUUGAGGCAAACUAUAAUAAGAAGAAGAAGAAUACAAACUCUAGCACACAUUGUGGAGAGACGUAUUUAAGCAAUGGAAGAAGAUGUAUAUGUUGUCUAGACCACGGGUAUAUGUUACCUAUGAGCCCAACAGUGAGCAUCAGGGAUGAGGAAUGAAUAGCUGCAAGAAUUUUGCACUGAUUCGCAGUUGAGACCUUGUUGACCUUCUCUGCACUCAUUGGCAAACAAUCCAGGAGGAUAUUUUCCAUAGAUGUUGAUGUAGCUGAACAUAGCUUCUGCAUAGUAAUUUAUUCUGUCGUUUAAGGCAUCAACAUAAGGGCAAGCAAAUUGCCUUAAAGCAUCACAACAAUUCUUGACGGGCUAUUAAGGUCCCUUGCAAUUCUUUGCGAGGAUAGUGUAGUCCAUAUUCUCAAAACUCACAUUGCAGGCUGAAGUUUGCCACCUGAAGUCAAAGGUCAUCUGGGCAUCAUUGGCUCUCUCCAAAAGCUUUAAUCCUCAACAACUUCCAAACUUUGAUCCUGUAAGGUUAUAGACCCGUCAACAGUCUCUUUGGUAUCAACUUUUCCUGGAGGAGAACGAGAAGAAGAGUUAAAAAGGUGUUGCGAAUGCUACCAGGUGGAACGACAUCAAAAAAUGUAAACGACCGCGUGUUUAAAAAGGCGUUUAAAAUGGACAACCCAAACGAUUGAGCUUGGUAAACCUCACCUGAUUAUUCAACGACGAGUCGUUUUAAAACAGUUUACACAGAUGUAAGAACAAUAAAGUAAUCAGAGAGACGGAGAAGAUGCAGCUCUUUUAGCUAACCUUCAAAACCCUAACGUCUCCUCAUCUUCAUCCCUCUCGCAUGUUCUUUCCUCUUCAAUUUCCAUAUCUAACUUUCAUUCCUUCACCGAUCUAUCGCUUCUCUUCUGACCAUAAAUAAGCUAUACGAUCUUACCAUCUCCUAAUUCCACUCUCCAAUGGCUUCCACCAUGCCUGCUUACUCUUCAUUGGCUUUCUCUCCCUCUUCGCUCUUGAAAUCCUCCGUCCCGCAUCCCUCGCCUGCGUUUCCUUCCUCCGGCCGCUGCUUGCUGACUUCCUUCCCGGAAUUCAGAGGCUUGAGGAUCCAAAUGCCUUCUUCAAAGUUGUCCUUGCUCUCCACCGGUGCGAAAAAUUCUAGGGUUUCUCGACGGAACGUAGGGCGCGUUGUCUGUGAAGCUCAAGAGACUACGAUCGAUAUUCCUGCUGUGACUGAUGCAACAUGGCAGUCGCUUGUCCUCAAGGCUGAUGGGCCUGUGCUGGUUGAGUUUUGGGCUCCUUGGUGUGGGCCAUGCCGAAUGAUUCAUCCAGUAGUCGCUGAAUUAUCAAUGCAAUAUACUGGAAAACUGAAGUUCUUGAAAUUGAAUACUGAUGAAAGUCCUUCUAUUGCAAGCAAAUAUGGAAUACGAAGCAUUCCAACAAUCAUGAUCUUCAACAAUGGUGAGAAGAAAGAUGCAGUCAUUGGUGCUGUGCCGAAAACGACACUGACUACCACCAUUGAGAAAUUCUUGUAGAGGAAGGUUAGAUACUGUUUUCCAAGAUCUUCUGUUCUAUAUUGUUUGAUGCUCUCUUUUCUUUCCCUUUUUCCUACGAGUUUGAAAAAGUAAUCUUGCAUAAUUAUGGAUCCUGCACAUUUUCUAUCUUUUGUGACAUUUUUACUUCAAUUGACAAUAAGUGUUUUCUUGCCUGAAGAUUUACUUCGAAUGCCUGGCAGCUUUGUCAAUGAAUGGUUUGAAAACUUGAGUUCCUUAGUCCCCAAUGUGGACACAUGUCCCAUCUUCUAAAGCUUUAUCGAAUUUUCUUUGCUUGAUUUUUCCAAAUCAGCGCUGUAGGAUUUUUCACUAAUUUUUCUAGCAGGUUCAUUGAAAUUGAAUGUUGACUCCAUGUUGGUCCGCCAAAGCUACUGCUGCUUGUAUUGCUGUCAAUUGCCGGCAUUGAAGAUAGAAUGCUGGUUAGGAAUGGCGUUUGAAAUUCCUAAAGGACUUAAGAUUCAUCUACUUUUUAUUUUUUUUAUUUUUUUGGUUUCACCUAGGUCAUUUCUACUUUAUUUUCUUGCUUUUGGUGGAGAUUUUGCUUUCUUGAUUUUGAUGGGUUGUUCUUGUUCAAUUAAUGCAACUGGCUUUUUCCAGGAAGUUGGAUCCCAUGUUUUCAAUUUUCUUUUGCUUUACUUUGUUUUCCACAAGCCACGGUAGUGGAGAAGGGAUUAAUGUUCAAAUUUUAACUUGUAUUUAAUGGAGAUGUUUAAUUUAAUUUAAAAA